This 443-nucleotide ribosomal RNA is filed under the name uncultured bacterium. Its description in RNAcentral is "partial 16S ribosomal RNA". It matches the Rfam family "Bacterial small subunit ribosomal RNA", at positions 338 to 795 of the family's 1533-position model. The record is from RNAcentral.
CCUACGGGAGUCAGCAGUGGGGAAUAUUGGGCAAUGGGCGCAAGCCUGACCCAGCAACGCCGCGUGAAGGAAGAAGGCUUUCGGGUUGUAAACUUCUUUUCUGAGGGACGAAGAAAGUGACGGUACCUCAGGAAUAAGCCACGGCUAACUACGUGCCAGCAUCCGCGGUAAUACGUAGGUGGCAAGCGUUAUCCGGAUUUAUUGGGUGUAAAGGGCGUGUAGGCGGGAUAGCAAGUCAGAUGUGAAAACUCAGGGCUCAACCCUGAGCCUGCAUUUGAAACUGUUUUUCUUGAGUGCUGGAGAGGCAAUUGGAAUUGCGUGUGUAGCGGUGAAAUGCGGAGAUAUACGGAGGAACACCAGGGGCGAAGGCGGAUUGCUGGACAGUAACUGACGCUGAGGCGCGAAAGCGUGGGGAGCAAACAGGAUUAGAUACCCGGGUAGUC